This 73-nucleotide transfer RNA is filed under the name Candidatus Nomurabacteria bacterium. Its description in RNAcentral is "tRNA-Ala". It matches the Rfam family "tRNA". Rfam says of the family: Transfer RNA (tRNA) molecules are approximately 80 nucleotides in length. Their secondary structure includes four short double-helical elements and three loops (D, anti-codon, and T loops). Further hydrogen bonds mediate the characteristic L-shaped molecular structure. tRNAs have two regions of fundamental functional importance: the anti-codon, which is responsible for specific mRNA codon recognition, and the 3' end, to which the tRNAs corresponding amino acid is attached (by aminoacyl-tRNA synthetases). tRNAs cope with the degeneracy of the genetic code in two manners: having more than one tRNA (with a specific anti-codon) for a particular amino acid; and 'wobble' base-pairing, i.e. permitting non-standard base-pairing at the 3rd anti-codon position. The record is from RNAcentral. Lineage: Bacteria; Candidatus Nomuraibacteriota.
GGGCCCAUAGCUCAGUUGGUAGAGCAGCGCUUUUGCAAAGCGAAGGUCAGGAGUUCGAAUCUCCUUGGGUCCA